RNAcentral lists this ribosomal RNA (253 nucleotides) under uncultured bacterium. RNAcentral describes it as "partial 16S ribosomal RNA". It matches the Rfam family "Bacterial small subunit ribosomal RNA", at positions 524 to 776 of the family's 1533-position model. The record is from RNAcentral.
UACGUAGGUGGCAAGCGUUGUUCGGAAUUAUUGGGCGUAAAGGGCGCGUAGGCGAUUUGAAAAGUCUUGUGUGAAAGCCCCGAGCUUAACUCGGGAAGUGCACAAGAAACUGUUGAAUUUGAGUUCCGGAGAGGAAGGCAGAAUUCCCGGUGUAGCGGUGAAAUGCGUAGAUAUCGGGAGGAAUACCAGUGGCGAAGGCGGCCUUCUGGACGGAUACUGACGCUGAGGCGCGAAAGCCAGGGGAGCAAACGGG